This 718-nucleotide ribosomal RNA is filed under the name Salmonella enterica subsp. enterica serovar Dublin. RNAcentral describes it as "partial 23S ribosomal RNA". It matches the Rfam family "Bacterial large subunit ribosomal RNA", at positions 1 to 1190 of the family's 2925-position model. Lineage: Bacteria; Pseudomonadati; Pseudomonadota; Gammaproteobacteria; Enterobacterales; Enterobacteriaceae. The record is from RNAcentral.
AGUGGGAGCCCCACCACUAAGCCAGUGGUGAACUCCACAUACGCAUCCUUUGCUGAGGAUACGGUUAACGGAGCGAAAGCGACGUUCAACCGCAAAAGAAGCAGAGGGGGCUUAGUGGUGGGGUGACUGCGUACCUUUUGUAUAAUGGGUCAGCGACUUAUAUUCUGUAGCAAGGUUAACCGAAUAGGGGAGCCGGAGGGAAACCGAGUCUUAACCGGGCGUUAAGUUGCAGGGUAUAGACCCGAAACCCGGUGAUCUAGCCAUGGGCAGGUUGAAGGUUGGGUAACACUAACUGGAGGACCGAACCGACUAAUGUUGAAAAAUUAGCGGAUGACCUGUGGCUGGGGGUGAAAGGCCAAUCAAACCGGGAGAUAGCUGGUUCUCCCCGAAAGCUAUUUAGGUAGCGCCUCGUGAAUUCAUCUCCGGGGGUAGAGCACUGUUUCGGCUAGGGGGCCAUCCCGGCUUACCAACCCGAUGCAAACUGCGAAUACCGGAGAAUGUUAUCACGGGAGACACACGGCGGGUGCUAACGUCCGUCGUGAAGAGGGAAACAACCCAGACCGCCAGCUAAGGUCCCAAAGUCAUGGUUAAGUGGGAAACGAUGUGGGAAGGCCCAGACAGCCAGGAUGUUGGCUUAGAAGCAGCCAUCAUUUAAAGAAAGCGUAAUAGCUCACUGGUCGAGUCGGCCUGCGCGGAAGAUGUAACGGGGCUAAACCAU